RNAcentral lists this long non-coding RNA (502 nucleotides) under Amborella trichopoda. RNAcentral's name for it is "long non-coding RNA (ATRI_LNC001909)". Lineage: Eukaryota; Viridiplantae; Streptophyta; Magnoliopsida; Amborellales; Amborellaceae. The record is from RNAcentral.
UUUGCAUCAUAUUGUGCUAAAAAAAAAAGAAAAAGAAGUAGGUGCAAACAAUAAAAACAAUGGUCAAAAUUAACAAUACCCAACAUUAUUUUUCAAGUGGACGAUCCACCCCAACGAUUCAGGUUUUGAAACACCGGCUACUAUCUCAUGUGUCAUUAUGAAACUCAUGAUUUAUUGCCACCAUAUUGUCCCUCCAAAUUUAAUUUUAUCUUUGAAUUCUAAUACCCUUGAUGACUGGCUACUAUUAUUUAUGUCAUUAUGAAACUCAUGAUUUAUCGCCACCAUAUUGUCCAUCCAUAUUUAAUUUUAUCUCUGAAUUUUAAUGCCUUGGACGACACUAUCCCAGUACACCGAGGUCUCACCAGAUGGCAUGAAGGAAUAUUUCAUCUAUAAUUUUUGUGAAUCAAUUUACAAGGGAAGAAAAUGAUUUUGACGAAUCAAUUUACGAGGGAAGAAAAUUAUUUUGACGUUUAAUUGAUUUGGAAUUUCAAUUUAAUUAAAG